CGGCGUCGAGCGGCGGACGGGUGAGUAAUGCCUAGGAAAUUGCCUUGAUGUGGGGGAUAACCAUUGGAAACGAUGGCUAAUACCGCAUAAUGCCUACGGGCCAAAGAGGGGGACCUUCGGGCCUCUCGCGUCAAGAUAUGCCUAGGUGGGAUUAGCUAGUUGGUGAGGUAAUGGCUCACCAAGGCGACGAUCCCUAGCUGGUCUGAGAGGAUGAUCAGCCACACUGGAACUGAGACACGGUCCAGACUCCUACGGGAGGCAGCAGUGGGGAAUAUUGCACAAUGGGCGCAAGCCUGAUGCAGCCAUGCCGCGUGUAUGAAGAAGGCCUUCGGGUUGUAAAGUACUUUCAGCAGUGAGGAAGGGGGUGUCGUUAAUAGCGGCAUCUCUUGACGUUAGCUGCAGAAGAAGCACCGGCUAACUCCGUGCCAGCAGCCGCGGUAAUACGGAG
This 448-nucleotide ribosomal RNA is filed under the name Vibrio sp. MA-15. RNAcentral's name for it is "bacterial SSU rRNA". It matches the Rfam family "Bacterial small subunit ribosomal RNA", at positions 86 to 530 of the family's 1533-position model. Lineage: Bacteria; Pseudomonadati; Pseudomonadota; Gammaproteobacteria; Vibrionales; Vibrionaceae. The record is from RNAcentral.